GACGAACGCUGGCGGCGUGCUUAACACAUGCAAGUCGAACGGAAAGGCCCUGCUUGCAGGGUACUCGAGUGGCGAACGGGUGAGUAACACGUGGGUGAUCUGCCCUGCACUUCGGGAUAAGCUUGGGAAACUGGGUCUAAUACCGGAUAGGAGCCAUCUUUAGUGUGGUGGUUGGAAAGUUUUUUCGGUGUAGGAUGAGCUCGCGGCCUAUCAGCUUGUUGGUGGGGUAAUGGCGUACCAAGGCGGCGACGGGUAGCCGGCCUGAGAGGGUGUACGGCCACAUUGGGACUGAGAUACGGCCCAGACUCCGACGGGAGGCAGAAGUGGGGAAUAUUGCACAAAGGGCGCAAGCCUGAUGCAGCGACGCCGCGUGGGGGAUGAAGGCCUUCGGGUUGUAAACUCCUUUCGCUAGGGACGAAGCUUUGUUGUGACGGUACCUAGAUAAGAAGCACCGGCUAACUACGUG
RNAcentral lists this ribosomal RNA (466 nucleotides) under uncultured bacterium. RNAcentral describes it as "partial 16S ribosomal RNA". It matches the Rfam family "Bacterial small subunit ribosomal RNA", at positions 28 to 507 of the family's 1533-position model. The record is from RNAcentral.